UCCGGUUUGUCACCGGCAGUCUCCUUAGAGUGCCCACCAUUACGUGCUGGUAACUAAGGACAAGGGUUGCGCUCGUUACGGGACUUAACCCAACAUCUCACGACACGAGCUGACGACAGCCAUGCAGCACCUGUGUUCCCGCCAGCCGAACUGAAGGACCGCGUCUCCACGGACCACACGGGACAUGUCAAGGGCUGGUAAGGUUCUUCGCGUUGCGUCGAAUUAAGCCACAUGCUCCGCCGCUUGUGCGGGCCCCCGCCAAUUCCUUUGAGUUUUAAUCUUGCGACCGUACUCCCCAGGCGGAGUGCUUAAUGCGUUAGCGUCGACACUGCAGGGGUCAAUACCCGCAACAUCUAGUGCUCAUCGUUUACGGCGUGGACUAC
RNAcentral lists this unclassified non-coding RNA (383 nucleotides) under uncultured Pseudomonadota bacterium. Its description in RNAcentral is "uncultured proteobacterium contains 16S-23S intergenic spacer region". The record is from RNAcentral. Lineage: Bacteria; Pseudomonadati; Pseudomonadota.